RNAcentral lists this ribosomal RNA (329 nucleotides) under uncultured Legionella sp. Its description in RNAcentral is "bacterial SSU rRNA". It matches the Rfam family "Bacterial small subunit ribosomal RNA", at positions 488 to 816 of the family's 1533-position model. Lineage: Bacteria; Pseudomonadati; Pseudomonadota; Gammaproteobacteria; Legionellales; Legionellaceae. The record is from RNAcentral.
AAGCACCGGCUAACUCCGUGCCAGCAGCCGCGGUAAUACGGAGGGUGCGAGCGUUAAUCGGAAUUACUGGGCGUAAAGGGUGCGUAGGUGGUUUGAUAAGUUAGUUGUGAAAGCCCUGGGCUCAACCUGGGAACUGCAACUAAGACUGUUAGACUCGAGUAUAGGAGAGGGUAGUGGAAUUUCCGGUGUAGCGGUGAAAUGCGUAGAGAUCGGAAGGAACACCAGUGGCGAAGGCGGCUACCUGGCCUGAUACUGACACUGAGGCACGAAAGCGUGGGGAGCAAACAGGAUUAGAUACCCUGGUAGUCCACGCUGUAAACGAUGUCAAC